Non-coding RNA from Salmo salar (Atlantic salmon), 58 nucleotides. The record is from Rfam. Lineage: Eukaryota; Metazoa; Chordata; Actinopteri; Salmoniformes; Salmonidae.
UAGCUCAGUUGGUAGAGCAUGGUGUUUGCAACUUCAGUGUUAUGGGUUCAAUUCCCAU